RNAcentral lists this ribosomal RNA (156 nucleotides) under bacterium SC151. RNAcentral describes it as "partial 16S ribosomal RNA". It matches the Rfam family "Bacterial small subunit ribosomal RNA", at positions 337 to 486 of the family's 1533-position model. The record is from RNAcentral.
UCCUACGGGAGGCAGCAGUGGGGAAUAUUGGACAAUGGGCGCAAGCCUGAUCCAGCCAUGCCGCGUGUGUGAAGAAGGCCUUUUGGUUGUAAAGCACUUUAAGCGAGGAGGAGGCUUACCUGGUUAAUACCUGGGAUAAGUGACGUACUCGCAGAA